CAUGAAGUUGGAAUUGCUAGUAAUCGCGAAUCAGAAUGUCGCGGUGAAUACGUUCCCGGGCCUUGUACACACCGCCCGUCACACCAUGAGAGUCGAUAACACCCGAAGCCUGUGAGCUAACCUUUUAGGAGGCAGCAGUCGAAGGUGGGGUUGAUGAUUGGGGUGAAGUCGUAACAAGGUACC
This 183-nucleotide ribosomal RNA is filed under the name uncultured bacterium. RNAcentral describes it as "partial 16S ribosomal RNA". It matches the Rfam family "Bacterial small subunit ribosomal RNA", at positions 1319 to 1500 of the family's 1533-position model. The record is from RNAcentral.